RNAcentral lists this long non-coding RNA (385 nucleotides) under Glycine max (soybean). RNAcentral describes it as "long non-coding RNA (GMAX_LNC000740)". The record is from RNAcentral. Lineage: Eukaryota; Viridiplantae; Streptophyta; Magnoliopsida; Fabales; Fabaceae.
CCUAACCUUCUUUUUUUUUUUUCACUCUCUCACUAUUUCCCUUCCCUCGCAAAUUGGGACUUAUCUUUCAAAGCAAAAUCAUUUCCGUUUGAAAAUUUGUCUCCAUGACCAUGAAACGAAAACUUCCAUGCAAAAUCUGCGUGAAACAUUUUUUGAUUUUUUCGACUCGACAAACAACUUGCACUGCCAAGCACAAAACAUAGUACCAUGGAAAAUAUGCGUUGCAUACACCCAAUUAUUUGCUCAUUCGCGGCAAAAAAAGUUUACAUGAAAAUAAAAAGGUCGAAAAGAGGUACUUUGACCAGCCAAAAUAAGAAUAGUGAACAAGAAAAAUACAAAAAUUACAUGCACCGCGUGAACUAGAUUACAGCGAAGGUAAUUAUAU